UUCUGACCUGCACUCUGCUGGGGAGAACUAAGAGCAGGAUUGUGGAGGGAAGGUCCCCUUGAAAGAAGCUGAGACUCAGCAGCAGCAAGUGUAGAGCUUUAAUUUUUUAAUCUAGAAGACUAGCAGCUGUUUUCGUGUCCCAUGUAGUGCUUACAGGAGUUAAGCAGGCACAUCCCUUGAAGCAGCCUAUUCCUCACAGGCAGGAAUGGAGCUGGCGUGUGAACAGCCACCUUGGGAGUCUGGGUGAGCACUCAGCCCAGUGUCUGCCUGGGGCUCCCAGGGCAGGAAAGGUCAUUUUCCUUAGGAACCAGCUGGACCCUUCAAGCAAAGGCUAGACGCUGGGCCUUUGGAAAUCACUAAUUUUCCACUGAAAGAGUAUUUUUUAAAAAAGUGUUUACUCUGACAGUGGUAGCACUCCCUUUGUAUUACUUUUUGUUUGUUUUCCAACAAGUCAUUUUAAAAAGUCACCACUGCUUCCUGAAGAAUGUCAGUUCACUUUUAGUGACUCGCCAAGCUUUGUAUGGUCCACUCUGGAGCAGUAUUUGAUUGACUGGGUUUAUUGAUUGGGCUGACCUUCAGAAAAAUUCAGAGAUGCAAUAGCUGCCCAAACUCUUGUUGCUAUUUCUCUGGUGUGGACUCUGCCUUGUAUUUGAGACGACAUGAACACGUUCUGAGUGGUGCAGUCAACAGCCCAGUGGAUACACAGUGUGGAAGGCCAGAGGAAACAAAUCCCUGAGAAGCUGCUUGGAAAUAUUCUGAAGACAUUUAGAGUAGCCAUUUGGUAACAGGUUACCUCAUCUGUACAAUGGGGCAAUAAGACUUGUCCCUGCUUCCCUCCAGGGAAGUUAUGAAAUGUAAAAUAAUUCAUGACUGAUGUGUUUGAACACCUUGGAAGAAAUAUGAUAUAUAAGCAUAUGAUACCAUGAUUACCUCCAUGGUAAAAAGAAAUUAUUAAAAUAACAAUAAUAUGUACAUUUUCAACACCUACAGUUGUAUAUGAAAUACAUAACCCUUUUUAUUGUUUUCUGUCUAAUCCACUGCACCUGUGUUAAAAAAUGUAGCCCAAUGGCCCAAUUUGAAAAAAACACAUAAAAUUUAGACAAGUACUUAUUCUUUUAGUCACCCCAUUGUGCCUAGGUCUCACAGAACAGAUUUUAAAUAAUAUACUACC
Molecule: non-coding RNA, 1171 nt
Organism: Vicugna pacos (alpaca)
Lineage: Eukaryota; Metazoa; Chordata; Mammalia; Artiodactyla; Camelidae
Source: RefSeq, a predicted model, not a curated record